Molecule: ribosomal RNA, 215 nt
Filed under: Escherichia coli
Lineage: Bacteria; Pseudomonadati; Pseudomonadota; Gammaproteobacteria; Enterobacterales; Enterobacteriaceae
Also listed under: 1 other name
Description: partial 23S ribosomal RNA
Rfam family: Bacterial large subunit ribosomal RNA
Source: RNAcentral
GCUAACGUCCGUCGUGAAGAGGGAAACAACCCAGACCGCCAGCUAAGGUCCCAAAGUCAUGGUUAAGUGGGAAACGAUGUGGGAAGGCCCAGACAGCCAGGAUGUUGGCUUAGAAGCAGCCAUCAUUUAAAGAAAGCGUAAUAGCUCACUGGUCGAGUCGGCCUGCGCGGAAGAUGUAACGGGGCUAAACCAUGCACCGAAGCUGCGGCAGCGAC